RNAcentral lists this transfer RNA (72 nucleotides) under Camelus bactrianus (Bactrian camel). It matches the Rfam family "tRNA". From Rfam's summary of the family: Transfer RNA (tRNA) molecules are approximately 80 nucleotides in length. RNAcentral also lists the same sequence under 2 other names. The record is from Rfam by way of RNAcentral. Lineage: Eukaryota; Metazoa; Chordata; Mammalia; Artiodactyla; Camelidae.
GAGGAUAUAGCUCAGUGGUAGAGCACAUGCUUAGCAUGCAGGAGGUCCUGGGUUCAAUCUCCAGUACCUCCA